AUUGAACGCUGGCGGCAGGCCUAACACAUGCAAGUCGAACGGUAACAGGAAGCAGCUUGCUGCUUUGCUGACGAGUGGCGGACGGGUGAGUAAUGUCUGGGAAACUGCCUGAUGGAGGGGGAUAACUACUGGAAACGGUAGCUAAUACCGCAUAACGUCGCAAGACCAAAGAGGGGGACCUUCGGGCCUCUUGCCAUCGGAUGUGCCCAGAUGGGAUUAGCUAGUAGGUGGGGUAACGGCUCACCUAGGCGACGACCCCUAGCUGGUCUGAGAGGAUGACCAGCCACACUGGAACUGAGACACGGUCCAGACUCCUACGGGAGGCAGCAGUGGGGAAUAUUGCACAAUGGGCGCAAGCCUGAUGCAGCCAUGCCGCGUGUAUGAAGAAGGCCUUCGGGUUGUAAAGUACUUUCAGCGGGGAGGAAGGGAGUAAAGUUAAUACCUUUGCUCAUUGACGUUACCCGCAGAAGAAGCACCGGCUAACUCCGUG
RNAcentral lists this ribosomal RNA (490 nucleotides) under uncultured bacterium. RNAcentral describes it as "partial 16S ribosomal RNA". It matches the Rfam family "Bacterial small subunit ribosomal RNA", at positions 30 to 507 of the family's 1533-position model. The record is from RNAcentral.